AACAAAAGAGUAAAAUUAAAAUUGUAUCAGCUCUGUCCUCUUUCUUCUUCCCUGCCCGAUACCACCAUCUUUCUUUUCUUCUCUCGCAUCUCAGUCGGCUAGAUCAGAUGAGCCAUCUCCGGCCACCACCCAAUGACACGCACCCCACCACGAGCUUCCUUGGCCCCCGAAACCCCCAACCCGUGAUGCGUGCCUCCCCACUCGUCGGCCUCCGUCGCGACUGGUUCCCUGAAGUUCCGUUUACUGAAGCUUCUUCGCCAUGAACGGGCGACUAACUGCACGCCGACUUGCCGCCCCGCCUAACUGCACGCUUGGUCCGAUCAUCCCCUUCUCCAUUAGCCACACAUAAGCCAGGCGAAGAAGUGAAGUCAAAGGCCUAUCAUUUGGCUGAUUCCCAACGCAACAUUACCAUAUUGGACCAUGUUCAACAGGCUGCUGACUACAAGCAGCUCAAGAAAGAUCACAUUCAAGAUCAUGUACUUCCAUUGACAUUUAACUAUUGCAUUUUCGGGAUUAUGCACUGCAAUCUUAUGCUGUUGUUCAAGAUGUUCUAAUAGGGUACUAGAGACACCACUAUGGACUGAUUUUUUUGGCAUAUUAGUUGGUUUUUUAUUGAGUUUUUAACAUGAGACUAUUUUAAGUUGUAUGUGUUGUGAUUACAAGACUUAUUUUAAUAUACUUUUUGUACUUUCUUUUGGAGUGUGAGGUUGUGAUUUGGUUUUAUUCAUGUAAUUACGAAGCAUGAAUCUAUGCAUUUCUUCUUUUCUUUUUGAUUCGAUAAAGAUGAAGCUUCAUUCAUCUUUGAGUCUGUGAUGUAUCAUAUUCAUUAGUUUUAUGCAUUUUUCACAUAUGAACUCCAUUGUAUACUGAUGAAUUUGUAGUAGUGAUGAAUUUGUAAUGAUAAGUGCAUAAUCCAAAUGUGGGUUCAAAGAAGGAAGCUUGAAGCUGUAAUAUUAUUUCAUUGCAUAUCUUUUUUGGUUUUGACUUUCAGCUUUGUUUCAUUCUUCUGUUUUGGUUGCAUAUUUUGUAUCUAUAGGUUGCUACACUCUCUGCUUUAUGGUUUAUCCAUCUAUGUUUUACAAAUAUGCAUUGAAACAACCAUAUUUUCUCUUGAGAUGUUUAGCAAAGUGUGGUGUCUGGUCACCAGUGAUUGGAAAGUGUAGGGGAAGAUAUUUAUAAUAGUUGAACUACAAUUCUAUUCAAUUUAGUUUCUAACUUAAUUUUUUAUUUUGAUUUGUGUAGUAUGGUGGGAAGAACACAUAUAACCGUGAGGAAAUCAAUGAAACUCUAAAUGAAUGGGCAGCUAAGCUCCUUGAGCGGAUGAGCCGAAGCUGGGAUAACUUUUGAACUUAGAAUUCAUAAACAAACUAAUUAUAGUUAAGGCAUGCACUUAUAUAGUUAAUGCAAGGAUUCUUACAUAAUUUUUUUUUUUUUUGCAAGAAUGUAUUUACAUUUUAAUCUUGUAAGCAUACUUGCAUAGUUAGGAAAAGGAUGUAUUUACAUAGUUAAGGCAAGAAUUAUACAUUUUAAUCUUGUAAGUUUAGCUUUAUAAUAUACUGAAUUAUGUUAAUUUUGUA
This is a long non-coding RNA of Humulus lupulus (European hop), 1577 nucleotides long. RefSeq lists it as uncharacterized. The transcript has 3 exons. The record is from RefSeq and is a predicted model, not a curated record. Lineage: Eukaryota; Viridiplantae; Streptophyta; Magnoliopsida; Rosales; Cannabaceae.